GGUCAAGUGAAGAAGCGCAUACGGUGGAUGCCUUGGCAGUCAGAGGCGAUGAAAGACGUGGUAGCCUGCGAAAAGCUUCGGGGAGUCGGCAAACAGACUUUGAUCCGGAGAUGUCUGAAUGGGGGAACCCAGCCAUCAUAAGAUGGUUAUCUUACGCUGAAUACAUAGGCGUAAGAGGCGAACCAGGGGAACUGAAACAUCUAAGUACCCUGAGGAAAAGAAAUCAACCGAGAUUCCCUUAGUAGUGGCGAGCGAACGGGGACUAGCCCUUAAGUGGCUUUGAGAUUAGCGGAACGCUCUGGAAAGUGCGGCCAUAGUGGGUGAUAGCCCUGUACGCGAAAAUCUCUUAGUCAUGAAAUCGAGUAGGACGGAGCACGAGAAACUUUGUCUGAAUAUGGGGGACCAUCCUCCAAGGCUAAAUACUACUGACUGACCGAUAGUGAACUAGUACCGUGAGGGAAAGGCGAAAAGAACCCCGGAGAGGGGAGUGAAAUAGAUCCUGAAACCGUAUGCGUACAAGCAGUGGGAGCCCACUUUGUUGGGUGACUGCGUACCUUUUGUAUAAUGGGUCAGCGACUUAUUUUCAGUGGCGAGCUUAACCGAAUAGGGGAGGCGUAGCGAAAGCGAGUCUUAAUAGGGCGUCUAGUCGCUGGGAAUAGACCCGAAACCGGGCGAUCUAUCCAUGGGCAGGUUGAAGGUUGGGUAACACUAACUGGAGGACCGAACCGACUACCGUUGAAAAGUUAGCGGAUGACCUGUGGAUCGGAGUGAAAGGCUAAUCAAGCUCGGAGAUAGCUGGUUCUCCUCGAAAGCUAUUUAGGUAGCGCCUCAUGUAUCACUGUAGGGGGUAGAGCACUGUUUCGGCUAGGGGGUCAUCCCGACUUACCAAACCGAUGCAAACUCCGAAUACCUACAAGUGCCGAGCAUGGGAGACACACGGCGGGUGCUAACGUCCGUCGUGAAAAGGGAAACAACCCAGACCGUCAGCUAAGGUCCCAAAGUUAUGGUUAAGUGGGAAACGAUGUGGGAAGGCUUAGACAGCUAGGAGGUUGGCUUAGAAGCAGCCACCCUUUAAAGAAAGCGUAAUAGCUCACUAGUCGAGUCGGCCUGCGCGGAAGAUGUAACGGGGCUCAAACCAUACACCGAAGCUACGGGUAUCAUCUUCGGAUGAUGCGGUAGAGGAGCGUUCUGUAAGCCUGUGAAGGUGAGUUGAGAAGCUUGCUGGAGGUAUCAGAAGUGCGAAUGCUGACAUGAGUAACGACAAUGGGUGUGAAAAACACCCACGCCGAAAGACCAAGGUUUCCUGCGCAACGUUAAUCGACGCAGGGUUAGUCGGUCCCUAAGGCGAGGCUGAAAAGCGUAGUCGAUGGAAAACAGGUUAAUAUUCCUGUACUUCUGGUUAUUGCGAUGGAGGGACGGAGAAGGCUAGGCCAGCUUGGCGUUGGUUGUCCAAGUUUAAGGUGGUAGGCUGGAAUCUUAGGUAAAUCCGGGAUUCUAAGGCCGAGAGCUGAUGACGAGUUACCCUUUGGGUGACGAAGUGGUUGAUGCCAUGCUUCCAAGAAAAGCUUCUAAGCUUCAGGUAACCAGGAACCGUACCCCAAACCGACACAGGUGGUUGGGUAGAGAAUACCAAGGCGCUUGAGAGAACUCGGGUGAAGGAACUAGGCAAAAUGGCACCGUAACUUCGGGAGAAGGUGCGCCGGUGAGGGUGAAGGACUUGCUCCGUAAGCUCAUGCCGGUCGAAGAUACCAGGCCGCUGCGACUGUUUAUUAAAAACACAGCACUCUGCAAACACGAAAGUGGACGUAUAGGGUGUGACGCCUGCCCGGUGCCGGAAGGUUAAUUGAUGGGGUUAGCUAACGCGAAGCUCUUGAUCGAAGCCCCGGUAAACGGCGGCCGUAACUAUAACGGUCCUAAGGUAGCGAAAUUCCUUGUCGGGUAAGUUCCGACCUGCACGAAUGGCGUAACGAUGGCGGCGCUGUCUCCACCCGAGACUCAGUGAAAUUGAAAUCGCUGUGAAGAUGCAGUGUAUCCGCGGCUAGACGGAAAGACCCCGUGAACCUUUACUAUAGCUUUGCACUGGACUUUGAAUUUGCUUGUGUAGGAUAGGUGGGAGGCUUUGAAGCGUGGACGCCAGUUCGCGUGGAGCCAACCUUGAAAUACCACCCUGGCAACUUUGAGGUUCUAACUCAGGUCCGUUAUCCGGAUCGAGGACAGUGUAUGGUGGGUAGUUUGACUGGGGCGGUCUCCUCCUAAAGAGUAACGGAGGAGUACGAAGGUGCGCUCAGACCGGUCGGAAAUCGGUCGUAGAGUAUAAAGGCAAAAGCGCGCUUGACUGCGAGACAGACACGUCGAGCAGGUACGAAAGUAGGUCUUAGUGAUCCGGUGGUUCUGUAUGGAAGGGCCAUCGCUCAACGGAUAAAAGGUACUCCGGGGAUAACAGGCUGAUACCGCCCAAGAGUUCAUAUCGACGGCGGUGUUUGGCACCUCGAUGUCGGCUCAUCACAUCCUGGGGCUGAAGCCGGUCCCAAGGGUAUGGCUGUUCGCCAUUUAAAGUGGUACGCGAGCUGGGUUUAGAACGUCGUGAGACAGUUCGGUCCCUAUCUGCCGUGGACGUUUGAGAUUUGAGAGGGGCUGCUCCUAGUACGAGAGGACCGGAGUGGACGAACCUCUGGUGUUCCGGUUGUCACGCCAGUGGCAUUGCCGGGUAGCUAUGUUCGGAAUAGAUAACCGCUGAAAGCAUCUAAGCGGGAAACUAGCCUCAAGAUGAGAUCUCACCGGAACCUUGAGUUCCCUGAAGGGCCGUCGAAGACUACGACGUUGAUAGGUUGGGUGUGUAAGCGCUGUGAGGCGUUGAGCUAACCAAUACUAAUUGCCCGUGAGGCUUGACCAU
This 2893-nucleotide ribosomal RNA is filed under the name Pseudomonas proteolytica. RNAcentral's name for it is "23S ribosomal RNA". It matches the Rfam family "Bacterial large subunit ribosomal RNA". The record is from RNAcentral. Lineage: Bacteria; Pseudomonadati; Pseudomonadota; Gammaproteobacteria; Pseudomonadales; Pseudomonadaceae.